UAGAGUUUGAUCAUGGCUCAGAUUGAACGCUGGCGGCAGGCCUAACACAUGCAAGUCGAGCGGUAACAUGUCUAGCUUGCUAGAUGAUGACGAGCGGCGGACGGGUGAGUAAUGCUUGGGGAUCUGCCUUAGAGUGGAGGAUAACCAUUGGAAACGAUGGCUAAUACUGCAUAGUAUCUGCGGAUUAAAGGGGGCUUAGGCUCUUGCUUUAAGAUGAACCCAAGUGGGAUUAGCUAGUUGGUGAGGUAAUGGCUCACCAAGGCGACGAUCCCUAGCUGGUCUGAGAGGAUGAUCAGCCACACUGGAACUGAGACACGGUCCAGACUCCUACGGGAGGCAGCAGUGGGGAAUAUUGCACAAUGGGCGAAAGCCUGAUGCAGCCAUGCCGCGUGUGUGAAGAAGGCCCUAGGGUUGUAAAGCACUUUCAGUCAGGAGGAAAGGUUAGUAGUUAAUACCUGCUAGCUGUGACGUUACUGACAGAAGAAGCACCGGCUAACUUCGUGCCAGCAGCCGCGGUAAUACGAGGGGUGCAAGCGUUAAUCGGAAUUACUGGGCGUAAAGCGAGCGUAGGCGGCUGAAUAAGCUGGAUGUGAAAAACCGGGGCUCAACCUCGGCCGUGCAUUCAAAACUGUUUAGCUAGAGUCCUGUAGAGGGGGGUAGAAUUUCA
RNAcentral lists this ribosomal RNA (667 nucleotides) under uncultured Vibrionaceae bacterium. RNAcentral describes it as "bacterial SSU rRNA". It matches the Rfam family "Bacterial small subunit ribosomal RNA", at positions 1 to 671 of the family's 1533-position model. The record is from RNAcentral. Lineage: Bacteria; Pseudomonadati; Pseudomonadota; Gammaproteobacteria; Vibrionales; Vibrionaceae.